Long non-coding RNA from Oreochromis niloticus (Nile tilapia), 364 nucleotides. RefSeq lists it as uncharacterized. The record is from RefSeq and is a predicted model, not a curated record. NCBI's taxonomy places the organism in Eukaryota, Metazoa, Chordata, Actinopteri, Cichliformes, Cichlidae. The transcript is spliced from 3 exons.
CAUCUGCAGACAGGAAGAGCUAAUUAAACCUGUGCAACCUGCUUCUCCUCGCCAGUUUGUUAUGCUCUCCAUGGCGAGGAAACUGUCUCCGUGGUUUGGACUCUCCUUCACAUCUGUUUGGUUUCCUCACCUGCUUGCCUGCCCUUUGGCCUGGCACUACACCUCAAAUACACUGGAAAUUUCCACGGACCUCCUCUCCUGAGAGCCUUCAAAACCUGCACCUGCAAAUUACCAUUGACCGUUGAAGAAUCUGGUGGCACUGAUCCAGUCCUGCUCGACACCACCGCCACUCCCACCAGUGCUCCCCGACGGCGCUGGGGUGGAGGAGAUCUGAACAGUUCCGCCACCCGUCCACCGGCACCCA